This 497-nucleotide ribosomal RNA is filed under the name uncultured bacterium. RNAcentral describes it as "partial 16S ribosomal RNA". It matches the Rfam family "Bacterial small subunit ribosomal RNA", at positions 28 to 507 of the family's 1533-position model. The record is from RNAcentral.
GAUGAACGCUGGCGGCGUGCCUAAUACAUGCAAGUCGAGCGAACAGACGAGGAGCUUGCUCCUCUGACGUUAGCGGCGGACGGGUGAGUAACACGUGGAUAACCUACCUAUAAGACUGGGGUAACUUCGGGAAACCGGAGCUAAUACCGGAUAAUAUAUUGAACCGCAUGGUUCAAUAGUGAAAGACGGUUUUGCUGUCACUUAUAGAUGGAUCCGCGCCGCAUUAGCUAGUUGGUAAGGUAACGGCUUACCAAGGCAACGAUGCGUAGCCGACCUGAGAGGGUGAUCGGCCACACUGGAACUGAGACACGGUCCAGACUCCUACGGGAGGCAGCAGUAGGGAAUCUUCCGCAAUGGGCGAAAGCCUGACGGAGCAACGCCGCGUGAAUGAUGAAGGUCUUCGGAUCGUAAAACUCUGUUAUUAGGGAAGAACAAAUGUGUAAGUAACUAUGCACGUCUUGACGGUACCUAAUCAGAAAGCCACGGCUAACUACGUG